UGCGAAAUGUCCACUUACGAGC
RNAcentral lists this non-coding RNA (22 nucleotides) under Rattus norvegicus (Norway rat). Lineage: Eukaryota; Metazoa; Chordata; Mammalia; Rodentia; Muridae. The record is from RNAcentral.